GAUGAACGCUGGCGGCGUGCCUAAUACAUGCAAGUCGAGCGAACGGACGAGAAGCUUGCUUCUCUGAUGUUAGCGGCGGACGGGAGAGUAACACGUGGAUAACCUACCUAUAAGACUGGUAUAACUUCGGGAAACCGGAGCUAAUACCGGAUAAUCUUUUGAACCGCAUGGUUCAAAAGUGAAAGACGGUCUUGCUGUCACUUAUCGAUGGAUCCGCGCUGCAUUAGCUAGUUGGUAAGGUAACGGCUUACCAAGGCAACGAUGCAUAGCCGACCUGAGAGAGUGGUCGGCCACACUGGAAGUGAGACACGGUCCAGAGUCCUACGGGAGGCAGCAGUAGGGAAUCUUCCGCAAUGGGGGAGAGCCUGACGGAGCAAGGCCGCGUGAGUGAUGAAGGUGUUCGGAUCGUAAAGCUCUGUUAUUAGGGGAGAACCUAUGUGUAAGUAACUGUGCACAUCUUGACGGUACCUAAUCAAAAAGCCACGGCUAACUACGUG
Molecule: ribosomal RNA, 497 nt
Filed under: uncultured bacterium
Lineage: Bacteria
Description: partial 16S ribosomal RNA
Rfam family: Bacterial small subunit ribosomal RNA
Source: RNAcentral